RNAcentral lists this ribosomal RNA (253 nucleotides) under uncultured bacterium. RNAcentral describes it as "partial 16S ribosomal RNA". It matches the Rfam family "Bacterial small subunit ribosomal RNA", at positions 524 to 776 of the family's 1533-position model. The record is from RNAcentral.
UACGUAGGGUGCAAGCGUUGUCCGGAAUUAUUGGGCGUAAAGAGCUCGUAGGCGGUUUGUCGCGUCGAAUGUGAAAACCCGGGGCUCAACCCCGGGCCUGCAUUCGAUACGGGCAGACUAGAGUUCGGUAGGGGAGUCUGGAAUUCCCGGUGUAGCGGUGAAAUGCGCAGAUAUCGGGAAGAACACCUAUGGCGAAGGCAGCUCUCUGGGACGGUACUGACGCUGAGACGCGAAAGCGUGGGGAGCGAACAGG